GCGGCUGGUCUGUGUGCUCACGUAGCUGUGGAGCCGGAGCCUCGGUGCGGACACGUACCUGCAUCACCAGGAACCCGGUGGGCGGACCAUGCGGAGGAGAUCCCAGACAAUACAAGAUCUGCAACACCAAGGAGUGUCCCUCAGGUUUGGAGGAUUUCCGUGAGAUGCAGUGUGCCGCCUUCAACGACAGGCCGCUGGUGGGUGGAAACUCCUUCAGAUGGACAACGUUUC
Scomber japonicus (chub mackerel) is the source of this 231-nucleotide long non-coding RNA. RefSeq lists it as uncharacterized. Lineage: Eukaryota; Metazoa; Chordata; Actinopteri; Scombriformes; Scombridae. The transcript is spliced from 3 exons. The record is from RefSeq and is a predicted model, not a curated record.